Molecule: ribosomal RNA, 419 nt
Filed under: Deropeltis sp. 1 DJGI-2006
Lineage: Eukaryota; Metazoa; Arthropoda; Insecta; Blattodea; Blattidae
Description: partial 12S ribosomal RNA
Source: RNAcentral
GGAUUAGAUACCCUAUUAUUUUUGAUAUAAAUUAUUUAUAACCUGAGUAGUAUUAGUUAUGUUCUUGAAACUUAAAGAAUUUGGCGGUAUUUUAGUCUAUUUAGAGGAAUCUGUCUCUUAAUCGAUAAUUCGCGUUGAACCUUACCAUAUUAUUGUAUGUAUACCGCCGUUAUAAUGAGGAUCUUUUUAGAGUUGUUAAGGAAUUUUCUUGUUUUAUUUUUGUGAUUUAUUUCAGGUCAAGGUGCAGCUACAUAUUUUGGUGUAAGAUGGAUUACAUUUAUAUUAAUAUUUGGAUUAUUUAUUGGAAUUUUAAUAUAAAAUUGGAUUUAAUUGUAAUUUUUUGAAGAUUAUAAGGAUGAACAUUAGCUCUAUAAUAUGUACACAUCGCCCGUCACUCUCACUAUUAUUUGAGAUAAGUC